Molecule: ribosomal RNA, 1272 nt
Filed under: Escherichia coli
Lineage: Bacteria; Pseudomonadati; Pseudomonadota; Gammaproteobacteria; Enterobacterales; Enterobacteriaceae
Description: partial 23S ribosomal RNA
Rfam family: Bacterial large subunit ribosomal RNA
Source: RNAcentral
GGGUUGUGAGGUUAAGCGACUAAGCGUACACGGUGGAUGCCCUGGCAGUCAGAGGCGAUGAAGGACGUGCUAAUCUGCGAUAAGCGUCGGUAAGGUGAUAUGAACUGUUAUAACCGGCGAUUUCCGAAUGGGGAAACCCAGUGUGUUUCGACACACUAUCAUUAACUGAAUCCAUAGGUUAAUGAGGCGAACCGGGGGAACUGAAACAUCUAAGUACCCUGAGGAAAAGAAAUCAACCGAGAUUCCCCCAGUAGCGGCGAGCGAACGGGGAGCAGCCCAGAGCCUGAAUCAGUAUGUGUGUUAGUGGAAGCGUCUGGAAAGGCGCGCGAUACAGGGUGACAGCCCCGUACACAAAAAUGCACAUGCUGUGAGCUCGAUGAGUAGGGCGGGACACGUGGUAUCCUGUCUGAAUAUGGGGGGACCAUCCUCCAAGGCUAAAUACUCCUGACUGACCGAUAGUGAACCAGUACCGUGAGGGAAAGGCGAAAAGAACCCCGGCGAGGGGAGUGAAAAAGAACCUGAAACCGUGUACGUACAAGCAGUGGGAGCACGCUUAGGCGUGUGACUGCGUACCUUUUGUAUAAUGGGUCAGCGACUUAUAUUCUGUAGCAAGGUUAACCGAAUAGGGGAGCCGAAGGGAAACCGAGUCUUAACUGGGCGUUAAGUUGCAGGGUAUAGACCCGAAACCCGGUGAUCUAGCCAUGGGCAGGUUGAAGGUUGGGUAACACUAACUGGAGGACCGAACCGACUAAUGUUGAAAAAUUAGCGGAUGACUUGUGGCUGGGGGUGAAAGGCCAAUCAAACCGGGAGAUAGCUGGUUCUCCCCGAAAGCUAUUUAGGUAGCGCCUCGUGAAUUCAUCUCCGGGGGUAGAGCACUGUUUCGGCAAGGGGGUCAUCCCGACUUACCAACCCGAUGCAAACUGCGAAUACCGGAGAAUGUUAUCACGGGAGACACACGGCGGGUGCUAACGUCCGUCGUGAAGAGGGAAACAACCCAGACCGCCAGCUAAGGUCCCAAAGUCAUGGUUAAGUGGGAAACGAUGUGGGAAGGCCCAGACAGCCAGGAUGUUGGCUUAGAAGCAGCCAUCAUUUAAAGAAAGCGUAAUAGCUCACUGGUCGAGUCGGCCUGCGCGGAAGAUGUAACGGGGCUAAACCAUGCACCGAAGCUGCGGCAGCGACGCUGAUGCGUUGUUGGGUAGGGGAGCGUUCUGUAAGCCUGCGAAGGUGUGCUGUGAGGCAUGCUGGAGGUAUCAGAAGUGCGAAUGCUGACAU